This 425-nucleotide ribosomal RNA is filed under the name uncultured prokaryote. RNAcentral describes it as "bacterial SSU rRNA". It matches the Rfam family "Bacterial small subunit ribosomal RNA", at positions 355 to 774 of the family's 1533-position model. The record is from RNAcentral.
UGGGGAAUCAUGGUCAAUGGGCGAAAGCCUGAACCUGCGACGCCGCGUGAGUGAUGAAGGUCGUAAGAUCGUAAAACUCUUUUCAGGGAUCUUAAAGCACAACCGUCAACAACGGCUGUGUGUGACUCUCCCUGCAAGAAGCCCCAGCCAACUACGUGCCCGCAGAUGCGGUAAUACGUAGGGGGCGAACGUUAUUCGGAAUUACUGGGUGUAAAGGGUAUGUAGGCGGCUCUUCAAGUUGGGUGUCAAAGUCCAGUGCUCAACGCUGGGUGUGCGCGCGAUACUGACGGGCUUGAGGGCGGGAGAGGUGAGCGGAAUUCCCGGUGUAGUGGUAAAAUACGUAGAUAUCGUGAGGAACACCGGUGGCGAAGGCGAGUCUCUGGACCGUUCCUGACACUCAGGGACGAAAGCGUGGGGAGCAAACG